Molecule: ribosomal RNA, 497 nt
Filed under: uncultured bacterium
Lineage: Bacteria
Description: partial 16S ribosomal RNA
Rfam family: Bacterial small subunit ribosomal RNA
Source: RNAcentral
GAUGAACGCUGGCGGCGUGCCUAAUACAUGCAAGUCGAGCGAACAGACGAGGAGCUUGCUCCUCUGACGUUAGCGGCGGACGGGUGAGUAACACGUGGAUAACCUACCUAUAAGACUGGGAUAACUUCGGGAAACCGGAGCUAAUACCGGAUAAUAUAUUGAACCGCAUGGUUCAAUAGUGAAAGACGGUUUUGCUGGCACUUAUAGAUGGAUCCGCGCUGCAUUAGCUAGUUGGUAAGGUAACGGCUUACCAAGGCGACGAUGCGUAGCCGACCUGAGAGGGGGAUCGGCCACACUGGAACUGAGACACGGUCCAGACUCCUACGGGAGGCAGCAGUAGGGAAUCUUCCGCAAUGGGCGAAAGCCUGACGGAGCAACGCCGCGUGAGUGAUGAAGGUCUUCGGAUCGUAAAGCUCUGUUAUUAGGGAAGAACAAAUGUGUAAGUAACUAUGCACGUCUUGACGGUACCUAAUCAGAAAGCCACGGCUAACUACGUG